CUCAGGCCCAACUAAGUGAAUAUCUGGGCCAGCCCACCAAGCAGAGAGCCCUGCCCAGACGAGCGCCGGCAGAGUGUAAGGAGAGCGCAGGACAGGCGGGGAAGGAGACGGCGUGACCAGCACAGGUGAGCCACGCAGCUGGAGACCUUAGCAGUUCUUAUUUAUAUUCACUGUGUAUUCUUUCCUUUUUAUUCUCUGCUAUAUUAUGUACAGACCCCAAGUUGUAGCUAAUGUCUUAUGCUUCAGGCAGAAGGGUGUCUGUCUCGGUAUCCCCCAUGAUGGUAUGUCAGCUUUGGGGAUAUUCUGUGUUUCCUAUAUUAAGAACAUGGAUUUCUCACUGGGUGAAGUUCCAGGGUGGAGGCAAGGGACCAAAGGAACAUAUUGUAUGGAGACCUUCCAAUGCCGCUCCAGAACCACUGUCUGCCCUUCUCCCCCUGCUGCGUGCCCUAAGAGGCUGACCCAUAGCACUGAGCCUUUGACCUCUGGCUUCCAGUUGAGUUUAGACAAGAGGGAGCAUUAACAAGAAAUCAGAGAGAGAGGGCGAGGGCAGCGAGGGAGGCACAUCUUUAUUCUCCCGGUUUCUCCCUGCGGGGCUGCCGGGCCUAGCAACCUACCUUCCUGGGGUGAUGGGCCCCUCCAGACAGCCCACUUCUCCUGAUUCUGAGUCCAAGAAAUGAGCAAGCAAUGGAAAAGUUACAGAAAAGCUAGCAGAGAAGGAAGCCGAGCAUCGCCUGCCCCCAGUCAUGGGCUCUGUGUGAAGCAGUGUGGAGUGUGAAAUGGAUGUCAAAGGACAUUUGGAGCUUCGAUUUACAGGGGGGCAAGAAAAAAUGACCCCAAAUUUGGGGGUUGAAAGACAACAGGCAAAGAAUAAAGUUUUUUUCUGCUUUGCACACUUUCAAGCUACAAUGGCUCAGUAAAAGGUCCAUUGUAUUUGGUCGUGCACCAGAUGGAAAGAUGACAAAAGGACCCUGGGCCUGUGACCAGAGCCCCAAAUUGAGGCAUUUGUCUCAACUGCAUGGCAGGUACUUACUCAGAGGGCCAGAGUCCUGAUCUCUCUACUCAAUGGCCAUGCACAGCAGGUCACCCACUCAGGAACUGGAGCUCACGGCAAACAACAAAAAGAAUAGGACUGACAACAGGACUUUGCACCCUAAGAGAGAUAAGCUCCCCAGGGCAACACUAAGGCAGAACCAGAGAGGAGAUGCCCCUGCUGAAAGCGCACAGUGCCUGUGAGUCCCAUCCAUCUGUGGCCGUGAUGGCUCAGCAAUAGUCCAUCAGAGCCCCACUAAAUGAAGGUCUUUAUGAACCAUGAGUCCAGAUGUGCAUGCAGAUCAAAUACUAAUAACAGAAAAAGCGUUUAAUAAGAGGAUCCACAUUUGUUUCUGGAAAGAAAAAAAAAACCCUUUGCAAAUGAAGAAAAAAAGGUAAAUUGUUAAACCUGAUAAGCUACAAAACAUGUAAAGCAGGCGUCAUAGUAAUAGUAAAAUAAUGAAAACAUUCCUACUAAAAUACAGAACCAAAGGAGGAUCACAUUUCUAUUCAAUAUUGGGGCUGUGGACAGAAUUGUGUUCCCCAAUGCACACUUGUUGAAGCCCUGAUCCCUGGAACUGAAAGAAGGUCUUUAAGCAGACAAUUAAGGUUUAAUGAGGUCUAGGGUAGAGCCCUAAUCCAAUAGCACUGGUGUCCUUAGAGGAAGAGAGAGAAUGACACGGGAUGUGUGCACAGAGUCAAGUCCACGUGAGAGCACAGUGAGAAGGAGCCCCUGCCAGCCAAGGAGGGAGGCCCAGAGGAACCCGCCCUGCCGGCUCCUUGAUCCCGACUUCCCAACUUCGGGAUGGUCACAGAAGAACUUCCUGUCAUCCAACCUGCCCAGUCAGCACAAGCAGACUAACAUAUUUGCCUUAGAGAUUUCUAGCUGCUCCAUAAGAGAAAAAAAUGUAUCAGGAGAUGAAAAAAAGAAACAAAACUAUCAUUAUUCUUAGGUUAUCUCUUUGUCUAUGUAAAUGCCCCAAAAUCAACAAUGGAAAAAUUACUAGACUCAAUAAGAAUUUGAAAUUAUAAGUUAUUCAUUUUAGUUGCUUAAUACAAAAACAAUAUUCCUGUGAGUGCACUCACCCUCCCGGUGAUUGGAUUUGCACUGCCAGGUAUCAGGAAUUAUGAUAAACCUCCAAAAUUAACACAGUGCAAAUUUGUACAGGCAGCUGCAUAUAGAUGUACAGUCAUGCAUCUGUUAAUGUACAGGAAGGCAUGGUUUAGCAUACAGGAAAUAUGUAAUAGCAGAACUAGCUUUCAAGAAAAAGUUGAGGUAGAAACAUUUCCAGGAAUAUGAGAACUGGAAGAGAUGACUACCACUCAUGCUUCAUUUUUAAAGUGUGUGUUUUUGGCAGGUGAAAAAUAACCUAGGAACCAUAGAUUGAAUGCAAGGGAAAGUGGAGUGGAGCAUAGGAGACAUAUAUAUAAAUUAAGUUACUUUAAUCAUAUAAAACACUAAAAAUAACUUAUAAUAAAUUUCAAAUUUAAGGUUAAAUAAAGAUAAAAUACUGGACAAAAUAGCAUAUUAAAGUGGACAGAAUCCAAGUGUUCCAAUAUCCUUGUAUUUGGGGAGUGGAGGGUAAGCUAUUACUUAGCCCUAAUCUUUGGGGCUAAAUUUCUAGGUAAUCUAGGAAUUUAAAGUAUUUAAUUUAUAUAUUAGUAGAAUGUUUAAAUGGAAUAAAGCGGUAACUUUUUUUCAAAGACAGGAAAGGAAAAAAUUAAACACACAAAAGAGAGAAAACUUCAAACCAUAAGAUCUUAGAAAUAAAUACAAAUGUGAUGUAUUUAUUGUAAUCACAAUAAACAGAAAUAACUAAGUUUAUCAGUUAAAUACAGAGAUUACCAACCAUAUUAAAAUUUUUUUAAUCCAGUUAUAUGCCAUUCACUAGAGCAUGCCACUGCAAAGCAGAAUUGAUCCAGACAGCAUUAUUAGUGCUUGGAGAGCAUUAUGUGUUGAUAAAGGCUUAAAACACCAGGAUAAUACACAAAUUUGAAAUUUGUUUAAUUUGAAAUUUGUUUAAUAACUUCAAAUAUAUAUAUAUAUAUAUACACAUAAAACAAUGGUCAGAACUACAAAGAGAAAUUAGUGGAAGAUUUUAACACACUUUUCUUUACAAUGUAUAAAUCAGUAAGAAUAUUGCAGAUUUAGUCAAAGCAAUUAAAAAGCAUUGCCUAAUGGACAUGUAUAGAACACUACACCAAAAUACUGGAGAAUAUGUGUUUUCACAUAUAAUAAACACCUAAUAGUAAGCAAAGCACUUUCCUGAGCUCUGUGAGUUCUAGUGAAUUAUCAAAUUCAAAGAGA
This is a long non-coding RNA of Manis pentadactyla (Chinese pangolin), 3337 nucleotides long. RefSeq lists it as uncharacterized. The record is from RefSeq and is a predicted model, not a curated record. The transcript has 3 exons. Lineage: Eukaryota; Metazoa; Chordata; Mammalia; Pholidota; Manidae.